This 185-nucleotide small RNA is filed under the name Lactococcus garvieae. Its description in RNAcentral is "rli28". It matches the Rfam family "Listeria sRNA rli28". The record is from RNAcentral. Lineage: Bacteria; Bacillati; Bacillota; Bacilli; Lactobacillales; Streptococcaceae.
ACGUCUAUGCUAUAAUGAAGCUGAGAGAGUUUUAAGCGGUUGGCUUAGUAUAGAAAGAGGGGUGAUGCCGAUGAUACAGGGCAAUUCCCUAUCAAACUAGAAAGGCUAGAUUUUUUGAGUAUUUCCAACAGCUUAAGCUUGAUGCUCGCCUUUGCGGGCUUCAUCCUGAUGCUGCUCCAUCUCAU